RNAcentral lists this transfer RNA (77 nucleotides) under Candidatus Saccharimonadota bacterium. RNAcentral's name for it is "tRNA-Pro". It matches the Rfam family "tRNA". From Rfam's summary of the family: Transfer RNA (tRNA) molecules are approximately 80 nucleotides in length. Their secondary structure includes four short double-helical elements and three loops (D, anti-codon, and T loops). Further hydrogen bonds mediate the characteristic L-shaped molecular structure. tRNAs have two regions of fundamental functional importance: the anti-codon, which is responsible for specific mRNA codon recognition, and the 3' end, to which the tRNAs corresponding amino acid is attached (by aminoacyl-tRNA synthetases). tRNAs cope with the degeneracy of the genetic code in two manners: having more than one tRNA (with a specific anti-codon) for a particular amino acid; and 'wobble' base-pairing, i.e. permitting non-standard base-pairing at the 3rd anti-codon position. The record is from RNAcentral. Lineage: Bacteria; Candidatus Saccharimonadota.
CGGGGUAUGGCGCAGUUGGCUAGCGCGUACGGUUUGGGACCGUAAGGUCGCAGGUUCGAGUCCUGCUACCCCGACCA